Molecule: long non-coding RNA, 2327 nt
Filed under: Capra hircus (goat)
Lineage: Eukaryota; Metazoa; Chordata; Mammalia; Artiodactyla; Bovidae
Description: lncRNA (ENSCHIG00010006681.1)
Source: RNAcentral
AUGUGCAGAGACGCAUGGAGUAAACCAUUCAUUGGUUGGACACAUAGGGCACAUCUAUGCCAGGCUAUGUAUCCGCAUGGAGACUUCAGCAAUGAGAUAGAAACCACACAAGCCUCUGUCUUCAUGAACCUCACAUUUCACUGGUGGCUGGGAGGACUGACAAGAAACGAAAAGGGAAACAUAGAUGUUGAUUCACUUGGUGGAGAAAACAAAGCAAGACUGGGGUACAGGGAGGGAGUGAAACAGGGGCGUGUGCCACUUUCAGAUGAGGCGUUUGGGAAGGUCCACGUGGGAGAAUGGCGUCUGAGUCAUUUAGGACACAGAGAAAGUGAGACUUCCGAGAAGGAACACUCAAAGGGCCCUGGCAGACAUGCCAAGUCCCCUGGAGACAUGGCUGUGACGCUUAGAAUGACACGGUCAGCACCUAGAAUCACAUGGAUGCCGGGCCCUCUGGGGCCUCACAGAUGAGAGCGCGAAAGCUCCAGAAAGUAUGCAGUGCUGUAUGAUGCUUGAUUGAGUCUGAGAAGGACCGGAGCACAAGGGGUGUUUCGGAAGGGAGCCUGAGGGCUGGCACCCACGCUCUGUCUGCACCUGUCUCUGCCCCAAAGCCCCACCGCAGGAGCAAGGAUGCCCUGACUUCCAAUUAGGAACGGUCUAAUUCAAUGGGGCUUAACGUCUAGGGAAUGUCAGAAUCACCUGCACUGCUUGUUAAGAUGUGCAGAUUGCAGGGCCCAUCCCCAGUGGUUCUGAUCCAGUAGGUUCAGGUGUGGGGCCCAAUGAUUAGGUUUCUGACACUUCCCUCACGUGAUCCUGGUACACACUCCACACUCCUCUUUCAUUUGCACUCUCAUUACUAACUCUCAGCCCCUCCAGCUUUGCUCUUCCCUCUGAAAUGACCUGCCUGGUCUGUGUUUCCCUCAAAGCCCAGCUGGGGCCACUUCCUGGAGGAAGCCUUCCCUGACUUCCAAGGCAAAGCCUUUGGUGCCCUCCUCUGAGUAUUUGCCCCUUAGAUUUUUAUCACAUCUAAUUGCUGCGCUCAUGUCUAUCUGCCUUUUGGAUUACAAGCACCUGAGGACCACUUUUCCAGUUCCUGCUAGCAGGUAUGUGUUCAACAAAGCUUUCUGAAGUCCCGUCUUGUUUUUCCCUGAUGUUUGUGCAAAGGAAGGUCGUCCAGGGAAAGAAUUCCAACUCGCCCCGCCCCUGGGCCGCCCUCACCAUCGAAACCCCAUUUCACCCAAAGUCCUGCUUUCCCCUGAACUUCCUGGUUCCAGCCAGUCCAGGCCCACUGAUGUAAUGACAUCUGGCCAUUAAGGAAGUUGAAAUUCUUUCUCUGACAAGUGCGGUUUGAAAUUUUUUAGAGAGCUGUUUUAUUAAGGCUCAAAUACACACAGUCAAGCACCAGAAUGGCAAAGCACGCACGGCUUGGCCAGAGGAUGAGACUCAAAGAGGGACCUUGGGCAAAGCACUGGCCCCUUCAUGUGUCAAAGGAUGGACCUGGAGAAAAGGAUUUCUCAGGUCCUUUCCAGCUCUCAAAUUCCGGGAUUACAGAAUCUUGAGUCCAGUUAGAUGCUAAACAAAUAUAUCCAGAUUCUUNNNNNNNNNNNNNNNNNNNNNNNNNNNNNNNNNNNNNNNNNNNNNNNNNNNNNNNNNNNNNNNNNNNNNNNNNNNNNNNNNNNNNNNNNNNNNNNNNNNAGAUGCUAAACAAAUAUAUCCAGAUUCUUAGCAUGAGUGUGCCAAGUCUGGUGGGAAAUCUGUCCUUCUUACAAGCUGUUGCCUAGUUUUAUCUCUGCAUGUGGAGUCAUAAGAACUCCCUAAAUAUUCCACGUGUGUAAUAGAGUGAGGCAGCUGCAGGAGCAAGCUGUGGAACUAAACUGUAACAUAGAGAAAGGUACAUAGACUAGGGUUUGAAUCUUAGGAUCACUGCCGUGUGAGCUUCAGCAAAUUCUUUAACUUUUCUGAGCCUUGGUUUCCUCAUCUGUAAAAUGAGAGCAAGAACAGUCUCUAAUUUAUAGGAUUACUACAGAAAUUAAGAGAAAAUAAUUAACAGCAAGGUUUUCAAAGAGGCUAGUUCAGCAGGUACUAGCUUUCAGGUGCUUCCUCUGGACCAUUUCAGUCCAUCUCUGCUGACAAGUUGGCCCCUAAAUGAGGAAAACAUUGUGUACUCUGAGCUCCAAAGUCCUUCUGAUGAGCUUCUGGUUACCUCUCAUGGCCUUGCUGGGUCACUUAUUCAUCCAACCCAUAUCUAUGGUUAUUGUUAUUGUUGUUCAGUUGCUUGGGCAUGUCCAGCUCUUUGCGACCCCAUGGACUGCAGCACACCAGGCUUCCCU